This 1026-nucleotide ribosomal RNA is filed under the name Vibrio owensii. RNAcentral's name for it is "bacterial SSU rRNA". It matches the Rfam family "Bacterial small subunit ribosomal RNA", at positions 475 to 1533 of the family's 1533-position model. Lineage: Bacteria; Pseudomonadati; Pseudomonadota; Gammaproteobacteria; Vibrionales; Vibrionaceae. The record is from RNAcentral.
UUACUGCACGAAUGAAGCCCCCGGUUAAUUCCGUGUCCAGCAGGCCGCGGUUAUUACGGAGGGGUCGAGCGUUAAUUCGGAAUUACUGGGCGUAAAAGCCCCCGCCGGGUGGUUUGGUAAAUUCAGAAUCGAAAAGCCCCGGGCUCCAACCUUCGGAAUCGCCUUUUAAAAUGUCCAGGCUUGAGUUUCUGUAGAAGGGGGGGUAGAAUUUUCAGGUGUAGGCGGUGAAAUGGUAGGAGAUUUGGAAAGGAAUACCGGUGGCGAAAGGCGGCCCCCCUGGACAAAAUACUGACACUCUAGAUGCGAAAAGCGUGGGGAGCCAAACAGGAUUUAGAUACCCUGGUAGUCCACGCCGUAAACGAUGUUUACUUGGAGGUUGUGGCCUUGAGCCGUGGCUUUCGGAGCUAACGCGUUAAAAUAGACCCGCCUGGGGAGUACGGUCGCAAGGUUAAAACUCAAAUGAAUUGACGGGGGCCCGCACAAGCGGUGGAGCAUGUGGUUUAAUUCGAUGCAACGGGAAGAACCUUACCUAGUCUUGACAUCCAGAGAACUUUCCAGAGAUGGAUUGGUGCCUUUGGGAAUUUGGAGACAGGUGCUGCAUGGCUGUUGUCAGCUCGUGUUGUGAAAUGUUGGGUUAAGUCCCGCAACGAGCGCAACCCUUAUCCUUUUUUGCCAGCGAGUAAUGUCGGGAACUCCAGGGAGACUGCCGGUGAUAAACCGGAGGAAGGUGGGGACGACGUCAAGUCAUCAUGGCCCUUACGAGUAGGGCUACACACGUGCUACAAUGGCCCCUACAGAGGGCAGCAAGCUUGCGAAAGUGAGCGAAUCCCAAAAAGUGCGUCGUAGUCCGGAUUGGAGUCUGCAACUCGACUCCAUGAAGUCGGAAUCGCUAGUAAUCGCGGAUCAGAAAGCCACGGUGUAUACGUUCCCGGGCCUUGUGGCAUCAUUUUGUCGCAAGGUAACCAUGCUAGAGUUGAUCCUGGCUCAGGAUAAGUCGUAACAAGGUAACCAUGCUAUGAGUGACCC